Molecule: long non-coding RNA, 2042 nt
Filed under: Salmo trutta (river trout)
Lineage: Eukaryota; Metazoa; Chordata; Actinopteri; Salmoniformes; Salmonidae
Description: lncRNA (ENSSTUG00000040245.1)
Source: RNAcentral
UUGAAACUCUUGUCUGUUGAAUCCUGUGGACUUCCUAUCCCCUGUGGACUUCCUAUACACUCCCAGCUCCAAAACAACCAAAUGCCCAACCUCUAACAUUAUUACCCUCCUAGUCAUACUUCUAGUGUCAUUGGCCUUCAUUUUCCCUUUUGACAAAGUCCUUCCUCCACCCAUGCCUUCCUGUCAUCGAUGACUGCCUUGUCUCCUUGAGUAGAAAGGUACUUGAGCAGAGAAAGAAGGCGGAGGAAGAGGAAGCGAGAUGGAGUGAGAGACAGAAGCAGAGAGAGAAGAAGCUUGCGAAGGUGGUUUCGAAGCGCGCCCAGGCCAACGACACCCAUGUGCCCCUCUCUCAGACCAACCAGUCCAAGCUCAAGCAGUUCAGGUACCCAUAGAAACCCAUAACAUUACAAUUAUACUUGUAGCAACCCAGAAACUCACCCUGCCUGAGACCAGUACGAACACCUACUCCACAGCCCGCCGCACAUUUUCAUAUGGAAGUUAAAGCAGGACUUUCAGCGCAGGAAGGAGUACAAGGAGGAGAUGAGGGAGAUCCAGGAGAGAGUGAAGGGGAGGCCUCUGCUGUUGGAGCAGGUCGCACAGAUGAAUGCCAAACACGCUGCAGAGAAGCACUACACAGACACCCUGCGAGGCUGUGGAGUGAGUGAGGACUUUGUCAGUGGCAAGGUGCUCAAGUCCCAGUGGCCAGGUGGCCAAGACUCUGCAUCCAGGACCUCCUUCUCCAGUGACUCCAAACAAAGUGAAAAGGAUGAGACAGAUACACCAGCUAUUUACAACACGGUCUUCCAGGAUGACUACCCAGACAAUUAUGAAGACAGCUUUGCUGACCAAGAACAGGAAGGAGAGCAGGAGGCUGAGAAAGAUGAAUUAAAAUCCAAAAAAGAGGAAGAUGAGGAUGAAGGCCAUGACGAAGCAGGUCGGGAGAGGGAGGACAUUGGGCGUUAUUCAGAUGAUUGCGAUUACUCAGAUGACCAUUACUCAGAUGAUGAUGACCAUUACUCAGAUGCCAGUGAGCAUUACUUGCCCCUGGACGAUGAAAAGAAUGAAGGGAGUCACAUCAUCAAAAGGCCAAAGAGUACAGAGAGCAGCCCAAGCUAUAGAAGCGGCCAGCACAGCCGAAACAGUCAGAAGUCAGAGAGUGAUAGGGAAAACACAGCAAUUGCAGACAAGAAAAAUGAUGAGGAUGACUGAAAAGUCAAAGGAGUGCAUUUUCUCACACGUAGCUGGACUACAUUGUGCGCAAACGUCUACGACACUGACACACAGUGGUAGAGAUGCUUCUAUUAUACAAUAGGCUAAAUGUAUGGUAGGAUGCGUGUGUGUGUAUGUAUGUAUGUAUAAUUUCCUGUUUAUUAAAAGAAAGUGGCAAAUACAAUUUAGUGCGAUACAUAGACCAGAGUCAAUUGUAGUAGGUUAUGGUUAUACAAAUUUUCACAUUGAACAUGUUAGGGUACUCUUUGUCUUGUGAUAUCCUACUAUGCAGGAAAUACAACACUAUGACCACUUAUUUUUGGAUGUUUGUGAUACAUUUUCUUUAGACAUUUGUCAAUGUUUUGUGACUUAAUAUGUGUAGCCUAACAUUUGCAAUAUAUUUCAGGAUCAUACUUUCAUUGCAUAUAUACUUAACAUUUGGGAACAUAAAGGUGUUAUGUAUUUCAUGUACAUUAUGGGAUAUUUAUAUUUCUGUACUUGUCAUAAGACAAUUUGGCAAUAAAUCAUCAUCGACGCACGUUUUAUUGGUCACAUACACAUGUUUAGCAGAUGUUAUUGCAGGUGUAGCGAAAUGCUUGUGUUUCUAGCUCCAACAGUGCAUUAAUAUCUAACAGUUCACAGCAAUACACACAACGAUGUAAAUAAAAUAAAAAACUAUGAGAUGAUGAGACAGCCUAUAGGGAGGAGGUCAGAGUCCUAGCCGUGUGGUGCCAGGAUGACAACCUCUCCCUCAACGUGAUCAAGACAAAAGAGAUGAUUGUGGACUACAGGAAAAGGAGGACCGAUCACGCCCCCAUUCUCAUCAACGGGGC